CUCUUGUGGCCAUGAAAUUCGAGAUUGAGUGAGGAAUGUGGUAAUAUAACCUUCAAUUGGGCCAUCACUUCACUGUCGGUGCACUGAGUUUUGGAUUCUUAUCACCUCUUAUUUGCAGAAGCAAAUUGACAAAAGUGCCCUCUUUUGCUUGUGUCUCCUAUAUGCGAAAAUGCAGGUUUUCGGAGGGCAAUUUGUGGAGAAGACCACCAAGCCCGAGGCUGGGUUAGGUUAAUCUUUGUAUCGAGAAGAAAACAAGAACAUGGAAGGAACAGUG
RNAcentral lists this unclassified non-coding RNA (274 nucleotides) under Hevea brasiliensis (rubber tree). The record is from RNAcentral. Lineage: Eukaryota; Viridiplantae; Streptophyta; Magnoliopsida; Malpighiales; Euphorbiaceae.